GCGGAUAUAGUACAUCGGUAGUAUGCGACCUUCCCAAGGUUGAGAGGUGGGUUCGACUCCCAUUAUCCGCUCCA
Molecule: transfer RNA, 74 nt
Filed under: Oscillospiraceae bacterium
Lineage: Bacteria; Bacillati; Bacillota; Clostridia; Eubacteriales; Oscillospiraceae
Description: tRNA-Gly
Rfam family: tRNA
About the family: Transfer RNA (tRNA) molecules are approximately 80 nucleotides in length. Their secondary structure includes four short double-helical elements and three loops (D, anti-codon, and T loops).
Source: RNAcentral